RNAcentral lists this ribosomal RNA (497 nucleotides) under uncultured bacterium. Its description in RNAcentral is "partial 16S ribosomal RNA". It matches the Rfam family "Bacterial small subunit ribosomal RNA", at positions 28 to 507 of the family's 1533-position model. The record is from RNAcentral.
GAUGAACGCUGGCGGCGUGCCUAAUACAUGCAAGUCGCGCGAACGGACGAGAAGCUUGCUUCUCUGAUGUUAGCGGCGGACGGGUAAGUAACACGUGGAUAACCUACCUAUAAGACUGGGAUAACUUCGGGAAACCGGAGCUAAUACCGGAUAAUAUUUUGAACCGCAUGGUUCAAAAGUGAAAGACGGUCUUGCUGUCACUUAUAGAUGGAUCCGCGCUGCAUUAGCUAGUUGGUAAGGUAACGGCUUACCAAGGCAACGAUGCAUAGCCGACCUGAGAGGGUGAUCGGCCACACUGGAACUGAGACACGGUCCAGACUCCUACGGGAGGCAGCAGUAGGGAAUCUUCCGCAAUGGGCGAAAGCCUGACGGAGCAACGCCGCGUGAGUGAUGAAGGUCUUCGGAUCGUAAAACUCUGUUAUUAGGGAAGAACAUAUGUGUAAGUAACUGUGCACAUCUUGACGGUACCUAAUCAGAAAGCCACGGCUAACUACGUG